Molecule: ribosomal RNA, 542 nt
Filed under: Sangeeta sinuomacula
Lineage: Eukaryota; Metazoa; Arthropoda; Insecta; Hemiptera; Cicadellidae
Description: partial 16S ribosomal RNA
Rfam family: Archaeal large subunit ribosomal RNA (bases 396-542)
Source: RNAcentral
UUACAAAAACAUUUCUUUUAGUUGAUUGUUAAAAGUAAUUUUUGCUCCAUGAUUAAUUUUAAAUAGCUGCAGUAUAUUGACUGUACAAAGGUAGCAUAAUAAUUAGUUUCUUAAUUGGAAUCUGGAAUGAAUGAAUAUAUGAGAGUUUAAUUUUAUUAAUAUUAAUUUUAUAAUUUUAUUUUUGAGUAAAAAAGCUUAAUUAUAUUAUAGGGACGAUAAGACCCUAUAGAUCUUUAAUUUAUUAAUUUGUAUUUUUUUUUGUUAGUAGUAGUUUUAUUUAUUUAUAUUGAUAAAUUUUAAUUGGGGUGAUUAAUAAAUUUAACUUUAUUUUAUUUUUUCAUUAAUUUAUGUUUUUUUGAUCCAUUAUUUUGAUUAAAAGAUAAAGUUACCUUAGGGAUAACAGCGUAAUUUUUAUGGGGAGUUCAUAUUUAUAUAAAAGUUUGCGACCUCGAUGUUGAAUUAAGAUUAGAUUUUGAGGCAGGUUUUAUGGAUCUAAGUCUGUUCGACUUUUAAAUUCUUACAUGAUCUGAUUCCAGACCGGA